This 810-nucleotide ribosomal RNA is filed under the name uncultured eukaryote. Its description in RNAcentral is "SSU rRNA". It matches the Rfam family "Eukaryotic small subunit ribosomal RNA", at positions 617 to 1451 of the family's 1831-position model. The record is from RNAcentral.
GGUUAAAAAGCUCGUAGUUGGAUUUCGGCGGGCAUUGGUUGGUUUGAAUUGUUUCAACACUGACUAUUUUGCCCGUGUGUUUUGCCAGAAUUUAACGGGUGCUCUUCGCCGAGUGUCUGUUAGAGCUGGCAGGUUUACUUUGAAAAAAUUAGAGUGCUCAAAGCAAGCUUAAUCGCUUGAAUAUUCGUGCAUGGAAUAAUAGAAUAGGAAGUCGUUUCUAUUUUGUUGGUUUUCGGAAAUCGACUUAAUGAUUAAUAGGGACAGUCGGGGGCAUUUGUAUUCAAACGACAGAGGUGAAAUUCUUGGACCGUUUGAAGACAAACUACUGCGAAAGCUUUUGCCAAGAAUGUUUUCAUUAAUCAAGAACGAAAGUUAGAGGUUCGAAGGCGAUUAGAUACCGCCCUAGUUCUAACCAUAAACGAUGCCAGCUAGCGAUCUGUCGGCGUUUUAUUUUGACUUGACAGGGAGCUUCCGGGAAACCAAAGCGUGUGGGUUCCAGGGGAAGUAUGGUUGCAAAGCUGAAACUUAAAGGAAUUGACGGAAGGGCACCACCAGGAGUGGAGCCUGUGGCUUAAUUUGACUCAACACGGGAAAUCUCACCAGGCCCGGACACCAGAAGGAUUGACAGAUUGAUAGCUCUUUCUUGAUUUGGUGGGUGGUGGUGCAUGGCCGUUCUUAGUUGGUGGAGUGAUUUGUCUGCUUAAUUGCGAUAACGAACGAGACUCUAUCCUGCUAAAUAGACGCAGCCUUCAUUUCGGGCUGCGAUUCUUCUUAGAGGGACUGGCGAUUAUUAGUCGCACGAGAUUGAGC